RNAcentral lists this unclassified non-coding RNA (223 nucleotides) under plant metagenome. RNAcentral describes it as "partial contains small subunit ribosomal RNA, internal transcribed spacer 1, and 5.8S ribosomal RNA". The record is from RNAcentral.
UUUCCGUAGGUGAACCUGCGGAAGGAUCAUUAAAGAGAAUAUGCCCUUCGGGGUAGAUCUCCCACCCUUUGUUUACAUUACCUUUGUUGCUUUGGCAGGCCCGUCUUCGGACCACCGGCUUCGGCUGGUCAGUGCUUGCCAGAGGACCCAAAACACUUAUUAUUAAUGUCGUCUGAGUACUAUAUAAUAGUUAAAACUUUCAACAACGGAUCUCUUGGUUCUG